Small nuclear RNA from Pipistrellus kuhlii (Kuhl's pipistrelle), 135 nucleotides. RefSeq annotates it as U4 spliceosomal RNA. Lineage: Eukaryota; Metazoa; Chordata; Mammalia; Chiroptera; Vespertilionidae. The record is from RefSeq and is a predicted model, not a curated record. The transcript has a single exon.
AGCUUUGGCGGUGGCAGUAUCAGGCCAAUGGGGUCUUUCUGAGGCGUGAUUAUUACUAAUUGAAAACCUUUCCCAAAACACCACAGUGAUGACUUGAAAUAUAGCACUGGCAAUUUUUGACAGUCUCUAUGGAAA